RNAcentral lists this ribosomal RNA (468 nucleotides) under uncultured bacterium. Its description in RNAcentral is "partial 16S ribosomal RNA". It matches the Rfam family "Bacterial small subunit ribosomal RNA", at positions 28 to 507 of the family's 1533-position model. The record is from RNAcentral.
GACGAACGCUGGCGGCGUGCUUAACACAUGCAAGUCGAACGGAAAGGCCCUGCUUUUGUGGGGUGCUCGAGUGGCGAACGGGUGAGUAACACGUGAGUAACCUGCCCUUGACUUUGGGAUAACUUCAGGAAACUGGGGCUAAUACCGGAUAGGAGCUCCUGCUGCAUGGUGGGGGUUGGAAAGUUUCGGCGGUUGGGGAUGGACUCGCGGCUUAUCAGCUUGUUGGUGGGGUAGUGGCUUACCAAGGCUUUGACGGGUAGCCGGCCUGAGAGGGUGACCGGCCAAAUUGGGACUGAACUACGGCACGGCCGCCGACGGGAGGCAGCAGUGGGGAGUAUUGCACAAGGGGCGGAGGCCUGAUGCAGCAAUGCCGCGUGGGGGAUGACGGCGUUCGGGUAGUAAACCGCGUUCGCCUGUGACGAAGAGUGAGUGACGGUAAUGGGUAAAGAAGCACCGGCUAACUACGUG